AGAGCGAACGCUGGCGGCAGGCCUAAUACAUGCAAGUCGAACGGAUCCUUCGGGAUUAGUGGCGGACGGGUGAGUAACACGUGGGAACGUGCCCUUUGGUUCAGAACAACUCAGGGAAACUUGAGCUAAUACUGGAUAAGCCCUUCGGGGGAAAGAUUUAUCGCCAUUGGAGCGGCCCGCGUCUGAUUAGCUAGUUGGUAGGGUAAAGGCCUACCAAGGCUACGAUCAGUAGCUGGUCUGAGAGGAUGAUCAGCCACACUGGGACUGAGACACGGCCCAGACUCCUACGGGAGGCAGCAGUAGGGAAUCUUGCGCAAUGGGCGAAAGCCUGACGCAGCCAUGCCGCGUGAAUGAUGAAGGUCUUAGGAUUGUAAAAUUCUUUCAGCGGGACGAUAAUGACGGUACCCGCAGAAGAAGCCCGGCUAACUUCGCGCCAGCAGCCGC
Molecule: ribosomal RNA, 444 nt
Filed under: uncultured bacterium
Lineage: Bacteria
Description: SSU rRNA
Rfam family: Bacterial small subunit ribosomal RNA
Source: RNAcentral